UAGUCCACGCCGUAAACGAUGAUUACUCGCUGUAGGCGAUACACAGUCUGUGGCUAAGCGAAAGUUUUAAGUAAUCCACCUGGGGAGUACGAUCGCAAGAUUGAAACUCAAAGGAAUUGACGGGGGCCCGCACAAGCGGAGGAACAUGUGGUUUAAUUCGAUGAUACGCGAGGAACCUUACCUGGACUUAAAUGUAGAUUGCAUAGCUUAGAGAUAGGCUUUUCUUCGGACUAUUUACAAGGUGCUGCAUGGUUGUCGUCAGCUCGUGCCGUGAGGUGUCGGGUUAAGUCCCAUAACGAGCGCAACCCCUAUCCUUAGUUGCCAGCGGGUCAUGCCGGGGACUCUGAGGAGACUGCCGGCGUAAGCCGCGAGGAAGGUGGGGACGACGUCAAAUCAUCAUGGCCUUUAUGCCUAGGGCUACACACUGCUACAAUGGUGCAUACAGCGGGUAGCGAAAUCGCGAGGUGGAGCUAAUCUUGUAAAGUGCAUCCCAGUUCGGAUUGG
This 504-nucleotide ribosomal RNA is filed under the name uncultured bacterium. RNAcentral describes it as "bacterial SSU rRNA". It matches the Rfam family "Bacterial small subunit ribosomal RNA", at positions 791 to 1301 of the family's 1533-position model. The record is from RNAcentral.